AGUGAACGCUGGCGGUAGGCCUAACACAUGCAAGUCGAACGGCAGCACAGUAAGAGCUUGCUCUUACGGGUGGCGAGUGGCGGACGGGUGAGGAAUACAUCGGAAUCUACUUUUUCGUGGGGGAUAACGGAGGGAAACUGACGCUAAUACCGCAUACGACCUACGGGUGAAAGCAGGGGAGCUUCGGACCUUGCGCGAUUGAAUGAGCCGAUGUCGGAUUAGCUAGUUGGCGGGGUAAAGGCCCACCAAGGCGACGAUCCGUAGCUGGUCUGAGAGGAUGAUCAGCCACACUGGAACUGAGACACGGUCCAGACUCCUACGGGAGGCAGCAGUGGGGAAUAUUGGACAAUGGGCGCAAGCCUGAUCCAGCCAUACCGCGUGGGUGAAGAAGGCCUUCGGGUUGUAAAGCCCUUUUGUUGGGAAAGAAAAGCAGCAGGUUAAUCCCCCGCUGUUCUGACGGUACCCAAAGAAUAAGCACCGGCUAACUUCGUG
RNAcentral lists this ribosomal RNA (492 nucleotides) under uncultured bacterium. RNAcentral's name for it is "partial 16S ribosomal RNA". It matches the Rfam family "Bacterial small subunit ribosomal RNA", at positions 29 to 507 of the family's 1533-position model. The record is from RNAcentral.